GACGAACGCUGGCGGCGGGCUUAACACAUGCAAGUCGAACGGAAAGGCCCUGCUUUUGUGGGGUGCUCGAGUGGCGAACGGGUGAGUAACACGUGAGUAACCUGCCCUUGACUUUGGGAUAACUUCAGGAAACUGGGGCUAAUACCGGAUAGGAGCUCCUGCUGCAUGGUGGGGGUUGGAAAUUUUCGGCGUUUGGGGAUGGAUGCGCGGCUGAUCGGCUUGUUGGUGGGGUAGUGGCUUACCAAGGCUUUGACGGGUAGCCGGCCUGAGAGGGUGACCGGCCACAUUGGGAGUGAGAUACGGCCCAGACUCAUACGGGAGGCAGCAGUGGGGAAUAUUGCACAAUGGGCGGAAGCCUGAUGCAGCAACGCCGCGUGCGGGAUGACGGCCUUCGGGUUGUAAACCGCUUUCGCCUGUGACGAAGCGUGAGUGACGGUAAUGGGUAAAGAAGCACCGGCUAACUACGU
RNAcentral lists this ribosomal RNA (467 nucleotides) under uncultured bacterium. RNAcentral describes it as "partial 16S ribosomal RNA". It matches the Rfam family "Bacterial small subunit ribosomal RNA", at positions 28 to 506 of the family's 1533-position model. The record is from RNAcentral.